Non-coding RNA from Trichonephila clavata, 72 nucleotides. Lineage: Eukaryota; Metazoa; Arthropoda; Arachnida; Araneae; Nephilidae. The record is from the annotation of a GenBank genome assembly.
UCCCAUGUGGUCUAGUGGCAAGGAUUCCUGGCUCUCAACCAGGCGGCCCGGGUUCGAUUACCGGCAUGGGAA